RNAcentral lists this non-coding RNA (29 nucleotides) under Homo sapiens (human). The record is from RNAcentral. Lineage: Eukaryota; Metazoa; Chordata; Mammalia; Primates; Hominidae.
UGCACAUGAACCGAAUUCUGCCCGACGUC